RNAcentral lists this unclassified non-coding RNA (7864 nucleotides) under Leishmania donovani. RNAcentral describes it as "gene:LdHU3.33.4490(CDS-product:hypothetical_prote in_conserved)". The record is from RNAcentral. Lineage: Eukaryota; Euglenozoa; Kinetoplastea; Trypanosomatida; Trypanosomatidae.
ACAGACGUAUACGCGGUCAGUAACGCACUUGAAUUCUUGUUGCUGCGCGUUCUGUUUUUUUUUUUUGGUUUCUUCUCUUUGAGCUUCUCUCUGCAUCGAUUCACCGUGCUUGCGUGUUUGCUCAAGCAAGCAGGUGAGCGCAGCCGUCAUAGCAGGCGUAGGUAAGAGCACGCAAAAGAAACGAAACACACACACACACAUACAGCAGUCGCCGCACGGAUAGCAGCACCCUAUUUUGGUUCUCAAGCCUCUCCGCUUCUCUCUCCCGCCUUUUCCCGUACUCCAACGGUUUUCUUUUUUUUUUGUCGUGUGUAUCUCCAUUCUCGCUUGUUUUCUUCUCUGUUUUGCGUGUGCACCCCCCCCCCCUCUUCCUCUCUUCAUCUCUCACAAGCCGUGGAGUUUCGUGUGUGACUGUGAGAGGGUCUGCACGUACGCUGUACCUCCGUCUCCUUCGCCCACCCUUUUACCGGUGUGGCCACUGCAGCGACUCAUAGUUAGCUUCCAUCUCUUCCGCCCAUCUUUCUUGCGUGCUGCUAUUCGGCAGGUUCAGUUUUUUGUUCUUUGUCUUUUUGUUUCCACUGUUGUGCCCCCUCCCCCGUACCUCCUCUUCCUCUGCUGUUUUUCCGUAGUGCUGCGCUUGCGAUCCUUGCCCUCGUCGGUCAAAGUGGUCGUGUAUUCUCACCCCACAUCGGCCUCGUGCGGGUCCUUUCUUGAGUCCCUCAAACCUGUGUGUGCUUCUUUGCGUGCUACAGCUCGAUACUCGAGAUGGCCUCUAGUGCGAAGAAAAAGGAGAAGACCGGCCACCGCCGCUCCUCGUUGUCGUCCAACUCCGGAGACAAAAAGCCUUCGUCCGUAUCCUCUGCACACAUGAGCAGCAGCGGCCACAAGCCUUCGGCAUCUGGCGGUGCACAGCUCCCGCGGCAUCAGAGCACCGCAUCAGCGGCCGUGCCUUCGUCCUUGCCGCGAAAGCCGUCGGCGAGGGUAUCUGCUUCAGCGUCCAAGCCAGCCGCGCCUUUCGCAGCUUUGCAAAGCGAUGCCAAGCGCGCGGGCAGCAGCGCUUCCCCUGUGCCAUCGUCGGCGGCUCCCACGACUAUACAAGCCGGUUUCCCCGCCACGUCUCCUGCCAGCGGUGCACGCAGCGCGCCCGCUCCUGCUGGGGCUCCGACAACAGCCAAUGCGGCGCCAGGCUCGCAGAACGCUAUGGUCGCCGAUGGCUAUGGCUGGAUGGGGCCCACCGGCUACGACUCCAUAGGUGCCGAUGGGGCGGGUACCAUGGAAUACAAUGGAUUGGGGUCCAUGGGCCCUGGCGGUUAUAUCAUGGGCGAUGGCAGGCACAACUACCUGGGGGGAUACGGCUCAAUGGGCCCUGGUGGCUACGGCAGCAUGAAUGGCAGUGUGUCGGGCAACUACGGCUCCAUAGGCGGUGGUGAAAACGGCAUGACCUCGAUUUACGGCAUGGGUGGGCCGAUGGGCUCCAUGUACGGCAUGGGCAGCAACCUGAUGGGCUCCAUGUACGGCAUGGCGGCAACCGAUGGGCUCCAUGUACGGCAUGGGCGGCAACCCGAUGGGCUCCAUGUACGGCAUGGGCGGCAACCCGAUGGGCUCCAUGUACGGCAUGGGCGGCAACCCGAUGGGCUCCAUGUACGGCAUGGGCGGCAACCCGAUGGGCUCCAUGUACGGCCUGAGUUGCUACAACAUGGGUCUGGGCAGCAACGGAGCCUCCAUGUACGGCAUCGGCCCCUUCAACAGCCGCAUGAGCUUUCGCAGCACCGGCGGCUACGUCGGCGGCGCCUUCGGCAGCCUCUGGCGUGCACCGUCAGCCUACACCUCGCGUCCGAAGCAGGACAUCAGCAUCCCACCGCCGUCCUCGUCCCUUCACGAGGAGAUGCGGGAAGAAAAGGAUGACACAGCAGGCACGUCGAAGGACUCGGGCGCGAAGGCCACUGCGCGCGGCGAGGCGACUCUCGGUGCGGAGAAGAGCAAGACGCAUGCCGUGGAGGGCACGGGGGCCGACAAGAAGGACGCGGACGCGAAGGAUGCGGAGAAGAGUCGCGACCGUGCCAUGCCGACGGCGAUGGCGUCUUCGCACCGUCUUACGAAGCAGGUGAACGACAACGUGCACGUCAUUGCCGUGUUGGCGAAGGAGUCGAUGCUGAGCCACCCCGACAAGUCCGUGACGGUAGGCACAAACACGUACCAGAUGGACGAGGUUGCGGUGUCCCCGGUGAAUAUAGACAAGUCGGACUUGCUGAGGGAUAUCGUGGAGCAGACGCACUGCGGCCACAACGUGUCCAUACUGGCCCUCUGCGGCUCUCAGCCGUACACGGCGUGCACUGAACCAAUCACUGCCGUUGUCAAGCGCAUGAUGGAGUCGUUCGCGGAGGAUAAGGCGCAGGUGACGCAGGUGAAGGCGUCGGCGGUGUCGUUCGCCGAGGCCGGCAACAUGAUCGACCUCCUCGAGGCGAACGCGAAGCCGGCCAAGGCGGAGAUCGGCUCCAACCCGAUCUACGGCCCGUGUGUGAUGAACGCGUCUGAGAAGGACAUCAUGUCGGCGGCUGAGGCGGCCGAGGUUGUCAUCGGUACCGCCGCGAAGGCUGCGAAAGAGUGUCUCGUCGUCAUCAUGUACAAGAUCAAGCAGAUCCGCCCUGUCACCACGAGCGGCGCCGCGCCAGCGAAGGACGUGUACGUCUCGUCCAUGCUAGUCGCCAUGGUGAACGACGCCGGCAUGCAGAAUCUGAAGGCGGCCGAGAAGCACGCCACAACUGAACCCGCGCUCAUCUUCACCAACGCGAUUGGCGGCGCUAGCCGCACCGUGGCCAUUGUGCAUGUGCCGGAGAAAGAUGCUGAAAAGCUGGUCGGCGGCGCCGCCGCCCACUCCCAGGGCCUACGCGAAAUCAAGAACUCGCCAACACGCAGUGGCAACGUAAAGCGCUUUAUCGACUACACGGAGCGCGCAGCGGCAGCCAACACGAAGGCGUCCCCGGAGACCACAGCGAAGAUUGACCGUAUGCUCAAGGACGCGAAGGAGCUGCUGGCCAGGCCUGAGCAGACGCCGCUGAUGGCGUACAACCUCUUUGGUAGCAACUCGUCCACGAGCCCGCCGGAGACGGUGCCCCAAAGCGGCGAGGCUGCCGCGAAGAAGGCUGAUGCGCCGGCCGAACCCGCUGCGGAGAAGCCCGCCGAAACGGUCGCUGUGGCGUCUGACGCCACGCCGACCGCUAAGCCAGAGUCGGAGACGCAGGUGCGUCUUGUCGUGUGCGUCGACGGCACGGCGACAAUUCUGGCGGAGCGGGUGAGGGCGGAUGAGGUGGUGGUCCGAACCCACCCGGACGAAGUGCCCGAGUCAGAUACGCUCAAGACGCUGCGCGCCGUUUUCGGUAAGGGCCGCAACGUGGCCUUGCUCUCGGCAGAGACGCAGCCGAGGAUUCCGCUCAAAAACCAGUACACAUGGAAGAGCGUUGCAGAGAUCCUUACAAAGGCGUUUGAGUCGCCACCGGUGCAGGCGAAAGACACGUGCAUUGAGCUCUUCAUGUCCGUUGUGCGCAAGCGCCAGGUGCUCUGCGAUCUCAUGGCGAACGGCGCGGCGUCGGCGGGGCCCAAGCCUCUCGGCACGGCGUCGUCGCCGCUCUUUGGUCCGGUCCUUGUCGACACGACCUACAAAACAUUGCGGCAGGCGUUAGACGUGAAGCCGGCACUGGAUCAGGCGCUGCAAGCCGCUCCGGCCCACCUCACGGAGCCGGACUCCAUGAUUGUCAUGACGGCGGUGCUGAAGCAACUGAAGACGAACGACGAUGUGGUCGUGGCCUCUUUCAUGGCCGCCUCCGGGCCGUCGGCGGCCGGCGUUUGCGGCGCGAUGUCGAAGAACCCGGAUUACUCGCGCUCUCUGCUGUCCUACGCGAUCGGCGGCCCGUGCGUGACGUCGCUGCUCGUGUGCGUCGGCAAUGACCACGAGUCCAAUGAGGCGGCCAAGAGCAGCCUGACCGACAUGCAUGCUCUGACUAAGCAGCCGAACCACGCGAGCCGUGAUGGCAGUGUAAUGGCGUUCAUCGACUACGCCAAGAAGGGCCUCGAGGCGAAUAGGCUGAAGCUGGAGAGGGCCCAAGGGGAGGAGCGUGACCGACUCACGGCGGUCUUAAAGCGGCUGCAGAUCAUGCACGACGACUACGACAACCUUCUCAAGUGCCGGGGGGAGAGCAUGCCGGCAUACUACAUGGGCGACAAGCGCGUCAGCCCGACACCAGGCAUGAGCGGUGGCAAGCCGGAAGAUGCUACCGAUGCAACUGCCUCAGCUCACGAGAAGCCACAGAAAGAUGUGGGCGUGAAGGCGUCGGCGCCAAUCCGGGUUUCUGCGGUUAUCAUGGACGAUGACGACGAUGCCAGCGGCGCGGCCAACAAGACGCCGAUGGAAGUGACGGACAAGGAGCUGAUCAUCAAUGAACAGCGCUACACCCCGACGGAGGUGGUACAGGUGAAGGGCGGGUCGAUCCGGUCCGCCAUGAUCGAUGAGAUGCACAAGAUCGUGCUCGACGGCUACAAUGCCGCCAUGCUGACGAGCGACGUCGGGGGCAGCACGGUAGGCAUCUCGAUGGCUGUCAAGACUAUCACUGUGAUUAUGCGCGGCCUACCGAAGGACAGCGAGGCAUUCUGGUCGGUGACUGUGUCGAAAGACAACAAGGUGAAGGACUUGCUGGCCGAUAACUCUCCCUACUAUGAUCUCCACCUCGCCUCCUCGCCCCUCUUUGGCAACGUGCCGUACGGCGCGAAUAUCGUGCCAGUCGCGGAGGCGCAGGUGGAGCCGAUUGUGCGAGAGGUGCGCAAUGAGGUGCGCGAAAAAGGUGGCGUGGGCUACAUCGCCGUCAUUCUGCGGAUCCUACAGUCCGACGGCGAUGUCUGUGUGCCGUCCUUCCUGGUCGCCAUCGCGGGGGAAAGCGUCGAAGAGUACGAAAAGGUCCUCUCGACGCGCAGCAGCGCGUCGCUGCUCGGCACUGCCAUUGGUGGCCCCUGCAACAGCAUCUACGUGGCUGGCAUCCGCGGCAAGUCUGGCGAGAUGGCGCAACCAGUGCUUGAGCUAGCCGCGAAGAUGAUGCGUGUGCAUAACGGUCCCCUCCGCAGCUGCAGCCUGAAUCGCUUCAUCACCCAAACGGAGCUGGCGGUGGCGGCGAUGCAGCGCAAGAUCGAAGCCAGUGGCGGGGCACCGAACCCACAGCUACUGUCACAGGUUGGCCGCAUUGGGACGAUGCUCAAGGACGCGCAGAACAUGCUGAAAUCGCCAGGUGGUAGCGCGCCGGCGGUCUACAAGCGUUAACCGGGGUCGCACGGCCGGCGAUGCACACGUCGUUUUUUUUUUGCUUGUCACCUCUUCCUCUCUGCAGCGCUAGUGGUUGUCUUUGGGCUUCGCCUUCCACCUCUAUCCCAUGUGCCCGGGGUGCCGUGUCUGUCAUUCUUUUGGUGUUUUCGUGUUCCGGCGUUGCUCUCUUUUUUUUUUCGUCCUUGCACGUGCGUGUGUAUGUGUGCGCCGAAAGAGUUCAGUGUUGUUUUUCGUUUUCUUUUUUUCUGUUCUCUGCCAUAUUUCUAUUUUCUGCGUGUCUGUCCACCUCUUUCUCUCUCUUUGUGCAUAUGUUCCUACUCGCACCCGCCCUCCUCGGGCAUCCUUUUUAUGUUUUUGCUCUGCUUUAUUCUUUGUUUUAUUGGCCCUCUGACAACGUCGUCGUUUCUCUCCUUUUUUUCUGCCCUUUUUGUGAUUAGACUUGGUUGCGUUCCUUUUGCUGGGUAGAAACGGAACCUCUUCUCUCGUGCCGUGGGCGUGUGACUGGAUGUGCAUUGAUGCAUGCGUAGGCUAUCUCUUUCCUUUUUCGCUUUUUUUUGUUCAGUGGCCCUCCCUCUUCCCUCUCUGUAGCAGCACUCACCCUCCCUUUUCUCAUGAGGCGAUAUUUUCCCAUUCAAUGCCCCCCCCCCCCGUCCAGCAUUUCUUUCUCUCGGUCUCCCGUCCUCCCUCGCAAUAUGAAGAUCGAGCACCGUCAUCAGCUCGCACCUCCACUUUGACUCACUCACACAACAUGAGCAGCAAAGGUGCACAUAAGCACCGCGGAAGCGCGAGUUGCCCGAGCCUGCGCGCAUCUGUCAGAAAGAGAGGGCCCAAGAAAGACAAGACACAAGGGCGAUGGAGGAUGGGGUGAGAUGGGGGGAUGAGGGAGGCGGAAAGAGGUGCUAUAGUAGAAUCAAUGUGCAUUCCCCGUUAUAUGUGCGAAGCCUCUUUUCUUUCGCUCCUUAUGUGUUUGUGUGUACGCGCUGACUGAUGCUGGUGGAUCCUGUUUUCUUUUUCUUCGAUGUGCUUAUGCGUGUGCAUGUCACUCCCUUCCCAGCUGCCCAUUCCUGUCGGUGGUGGGCCUCAAGUGCGUCGUGCCGUGUCUGGCUGUUCGUUGAGUUCCCUAUGUGCUUUGAUGUCCACUUGUGUGCACACCCUCUGUGCUCAUUUUUUUUUUCGAAAUGUACGAUGGAGUCUGAAUGGCGUUGCACUUGCUUUGUAGCUCUUCUUUUUCCGUGUUCUCUUCUGUUCAAACCGAUGCGCAAGUACAGGGCUCCUCAUCAUUGCUCCACACCGCCACACACCCUUUUUCUCUUUUUGGGGUGGGGGCGUCCUAAAUUUGAUCGGCUUUCAUACACAUGCUUUCGUGUUUCCUUCUCCCCUUUUUGGUUUGCCGCUUGCCCUCUCUUACUGUUUUUCUUUUGCUUUUCUUGUCUCGGAAACGAAGGGGAGCUCUCGCUAUUGUCGACUUUUUUUUCGUCGAGCAGCUCCUAAACCUGUGUAGGCACUGACCGGUUUGCCUUUCUUCAUCUGAGGCGGCUCGCUAGGCUCGCGGGAUUCAUCACUUGUGCACAGCACACACGUAAAAGGCGUUUAUCGCACGUGACUGUUACUCAUCUGCCAUUCAGCCAUCAGUGCACGUGCUUUGCUAACCUCUGAGUCAGGGAUUUCCUCACAACCACCUCCUAAGGCUGGAAUAGGCGAGAUUGGAUAUGCGGGAGGGGGUGAGAGUGACUUGUUACCCAUGCCGUAGGUAGCCAUGUACAGGCGAAGCAGGCAAACAUCCUGUAUAUUGUGCACUUUUUCUUCUUCCUUCGUGGGGAAUGAAAAGUGCCUCGCGCAGUUUCCGCUCCAACCUUCACCCGUGCCGACUCCUGUUUCUCGGGACAGAGGUUGCAGAGGACUUAUCCAGCUUGGCGUCGGAGCAUACCGUCGCACAAGCACGUUGGUGACAUGUGGGGUAGAAAGUCACCAUCAUUUUUCAUCGACCCAUCUCCUUGAACUCCUCCUUCUCGGACGCUGCGGGACCCACGCUCGUCAGCCGCGUGAUUUACAUAACUCAAAGUCAUUCAUUUCAAACAUUGGGGAGAGCAGGCAAAUGCUAAUGUGCGUAUCUGCGCAUAAAGCACAACUCUGGCAGGUGUGAAAGUGCUUGCUCAUCCUCUUCCUUUUUGUUGUUGCUCUGUUUACUCACGUUUCCCCCUCUGUGUUCGUUUUUUUUUUCGUUAGUUUUGCGUUUUUUUUUAGCUUUCCUUGCGUCAGCAUAGGAGCAUGCGUGUCUGUGUGUCUGUUAGGUGUGGAUACACAGAUUUGUGUUCGCUUUACCCAGCUCUCCUUCGACAACUUUGGUACGAAAAAAAAAGAAAACACACAAAAAGGAAGAAGUCACCAUCGCUGGCCCCACCUCGCGCGUAUCGUGGGCAAACCAACUGUGUCGCGUGCAUUGGCCUGCCGGCUGUAUUUUUUGUGCCCUCUUCAUUUGUAUCUCAUUAAGCCACAUCCCCUUCCUCUUCACUCUGUCUUCGAAAUGGUUCCCUGAUCCGCCAUCAUGGCGAGUUU